Manacus vitellinus (golden-collared manakin) is the source of this 357-nucleotide long non-coding RNA. RefSeq lists it as uncharacterized. The record is from RefSeq and is a predicted model, not a curated record. The transcript is spliced from 4 exons. Lineage: Eukaryota; Metazoa; Chordata; Aves; Passeriformes; Pipridae.
CGCUGCUGUAAGGAAGCAAACUCCAAAGAAGGCACUACAUAUUUUUCUGGAAUUUAGAAACAAGAUCCCUCUGGUCUGCUGGUAAAAUGUAGACACUGUAGUGAGAGUAAUGAAAUGUCCAAGAUCUUGAAUAAGCCUGGGAUGGAAACUGGGAGUUAGUGGAAGAUAAGGAGCCCAGGUGUGAUGUGCUUAGAGACAGGACUGCUGAGAAGUCUGCAGGUGAGGGGAUUUUACAAAUCAAACAAAGCUCUGAUGAGACUUCCACCUCCUUUCCAAAAAAACACCAAGACCAUGGAAAAAUUGUUUCCAAGAAGAAGACUUAUACCUAGCUCCUCAUCUGCACAGAAGCCAUUGCCC